Molecule: unclassified non-coding RNA, 1530 nt
Filed under: Leishmania donovani
Lineage: Eukaryota; Euglenozoa; Kinetoplastea; Trypanosomatida; Trypanosomatidae
Description: gene:LdHU3.31.2880(CDS-product:3-ketoacyl-CoA_thi olase-like_protein_putative)
Source: RNAcentral
UCUCCAGAUCACUCAGCAGACAAAACUGCAAUCUCUUCUCUCUGUCAAGUAUGCACUCGACUCGCCAUAUUUUGCGUCAACGAGCGGUCCUCGUCACCGGGGCGAGGACGCCGUUUGUCAAGUCCUUUGGGGCUCUGAUGAAGGCAGACACGCUGGAGCUGGCGAGUGCAUCCGUAGCCGGUCUCCUCAACAAGACGUCGCUGGAUCCCAGAGACAUUGACCACAUUGUGUGGGGCAACGUGGUGCUUCAAGGAAGCGCUCACAACUGCGCGCGCGAGAUAGUGAUUGAUCUGAACAUGCCGAAGAAGAUCAUCGGCAAUCUCACAAGCAUGGCGUGCGCGAGUGGACUUAGCUCGCUCUCGCAGGCAUGCAUGCUGAUCGAGGGUGGGCAUGCUGAUGUCGUUAUUGCCGGUGGGAGCGACAGUGUGAGCAAUACAGAGGUCCCACUGCCACGCUCCGUGACGUACGGGCUGAUGAUGGCCCAGAGGAAGGGCGUCAUGGGCUUCUUCAAGGAAGCGGGCUACAAUCCGUUCAAGUGGUUUCCGGGCGGCAUUGCGCUGACAGAGCGGAGCACUGGAAAGACCAUGGGGUGGCACGGGGAUCUCAUUGCGGAGCUCAACAGCAUCUCGCGCGAGGACCAGGAGGCUCUGGCGGUGGCUUCGCACGCUAAUGCCGCCCGGGCUGAAAAGGCGGGGUACUUCAAAGAGGAAAUUGUCCCUGUCACGAUUGAUAAGAAAGGUAAGAAGACCGAGGUGACCUGCGACGACGUUAUGCAGCGCGACACUGAGAAAAUGAAAGCCAAAAUGCCAAGCCUCAAGCCCGUUUUUCGAAAGGAGGGAGGAACCAUCACGGCUGCCACGUCAAGCACCUUGACAGAUGGAGGUAGCGCGAUGCUCGUCAUGUCUGAGGAGAAGGCGAAGAAGCUUGGAUACCCGACCGAUGUUUGUGUCAAGAGCUGGUACUUCUCCGGAAUCGAUCCUUAUCCGCAGCUCCUUCUCGCACCUGUUCUGGGCUGGGGCCCAGCGCUGAAGAAGGCGGGCCUGACGCCGAAGGACAUCGAUCUCUACGAGAUCCACGAAGCCUUUGCGGCUCAGGUGCUCGCGACGAUCAAGUGCCUGAAGUCGCAGGAGUUCUUUGACCGGUACGCUAACGGCGCCAAACCUGUUCUAACGGAAGACAUCGACUUAUCGAAGCUGAACGUGAAUGGCGGGUCCCUGGCACUGGGUCACCCGUUCGCUGCAACUGGUGGUCGGAUUGUGACCUCGCUUGCCAAUGAGCUGCGACGGUCCGGCAAGCGCCAUGGCCUUGUGAGCAUUUGCGCUGCUGGCGGUCUCGGCGGCGUUGCUAUUCUAGAGCACACUCCGAAGAAGUGAUUUCCGUGGAGGUAGCCAAAGACGCGCAUGCUUUAAUUUCAGCUGUGCAAGCAAAGAAAAUGCUUGCAUUCUUUUUCGACCAUUUUUCUUUUGCUUAUGCAAUUUCAGAUCUACUUUCACGCAGUUGAUAGCGUCUACAGCACUUGUUAUUUGCCAG